CUACGGGGGGCUGCAGUGGGGAAUCUUGCGCAAUGGGCGAAAGCCUGACGCAGCAACGCCGCGUGCGGGAUGAAGGCCUUCGGGCUGUAAACCGCUUUCAGCAGGAACGAAAAUGACGGUACCUGCAGAAGAAGGAGCGGCCAACUACGUGCCAGCAGCCGCGGUGACACGUAGGCUCCAAGCGUUGUCCGGAUUUAUUGGGCGUAAAGAGCUCGUAGGCGGUUGAGUAAGUCGGGUGUGAAAACUCUGGGCUUAACCCGGAGACGCCAUCCGAUACUGCUCUGACUAGAGUUCAGGAGGGGAGUGGGGAAUUCCUAGUGUAGCGGUGAAAUGCGCAGAUAUUAGGAGGAACACCGGUGGCGAAGGCGCCACUCUGGACUGAAACUGACGCUGAGGAGCGAAAGCAUGGGUAGCAAACAGGAUUAGAUACCCUAGUAGUC
Molecule: ribosomal RNA, 440 nt
Filed under: uncultured bacterium
Lineage: Bacteria
Description: partial 16S ribosomal RNA
Rfam family: Bacterial small subunit ribosomal RNA
Source: RNAcentral